GACGAACGCUGGCGGCGUGCUUAACACAUGCAAGUCGAACGGAAAGGCCCUUCGGGGUACUCGAGUGGCGAACGGGUGAGUAACACGUGGGUGAUCUGCCCUGCACUUUGGGAUAAGCCUGGGAAACUGGGUCUAAUACCGAAUAGGACCACGCGCUUCAUGGUGUGUGGUGGAAAGCUUUUGCGGUGUGGGAUGGGCCCGCGGCCUAUCAGCUUGUUGGUGGGGUAAUGGCCUACCAAGGCGACGACGGGUAGCCGGCCUGAGAGGGUGACCGGCCACACUGGGACUGAGAUACGGCCCAGACUCCUACGGGAGGCAGCAGUGGGGAAUAUUGCACAAUGGGCGCAAGCCUGAUGCGGCGACGCCGCGUGAGGGAUGACGGCCUUCGGGUUGUAAACCUCUUUCAAUAGGGACGAAGCGCAAGUGACGGUACCUAUAGAAGAAGCACCGGCCAACUACGUG
This 462-nucleotide ribosomal RNA is filed under the name uncultured bacterium. RNAcentral's name for it is "partial 16S ribosomal RNA". It matches the Rfam family "Bacterial small subunit ribosomal RNA", at positions 28 to 507 of the family's 1533-position model. The record is from RNAcentral.